RNAcentral lists this ribosomal RNA (459 nucleotides) under uncultured bacterium. Its description in RNAcentral is "partial 16S ribosomal RNA". It matches the Rfam family "Bacterial small subunit ribosomal RNA", at positions 338 to 795 of the family's 1533-position model. The record is from RNAcentral.
CCUACGGGAGGCAGCAGUGAGGAAUAUUGGUCAAUGGCCGGAAGGCUGAACCAGCCAAGCCGCGUGAAGGACGAAGGUGCCAAGCAUUGUAAACUUCUUUUGUCAAGGGACAAAAUCAGGCUCGAGCGCCUGACCGCGGGUACUUGAAGAAAAAGCAUCGGCUCACUCCGUGCCAGCAGCCGCGGUAAUACGGAGGAUGCGAGGGUUAUCCGGAUUUAUUGGGUUUCAAGGGUGGGUAGGCGGACUGUUCAGGCCGCGGUAAAAGCCCGGGGCUCAACCCCGGCGAGCAGUUGAACCUGGCUGUCUUGAGAAGUCGAGAGGUAUGCGGAAUGCGCAGUGUAGCGGUGAAAUGCUUAGAUAUUGCGCAGAACUCCGAUUGCGAAGGCAGCAUACCGGCGGCGAUCUGACGCUGAGGCACGAAAGCGUGGGUAUCGAACAGGAUUAGAUACCCCUGUAGUC